RNAcentral lists this long non-coding RNA (1287 nucleotides) under Mus musculus (house mouse). RNAcentral's name for it is "lincRNA-EC55". Lineage: Eukaryota; Metazoa; Chordata; Mammalia; Rodentia; Muridae. The record is from RNAcentral.
UAGUUGCUUCAGGUAAGGGUAUGGACUGUCAUGUCUGGGUAACAGCCAGCGCUUGCACAAGGAGUCUCUUCCCACAGGAACCUGGGAGGAAAAUGAACAGGUUACUUCCUCCUCCUGGUCCCACUGGUCCUCAUACCUGCCCUCUCUAUACAGCUAGAUCGGAAUAAUGUGACUGGCCUCACUCUUUCAGGCUAAGACUGUAGCUUGUGCCCCUGGGAAGCAUGAUGCUUGAUCUUAGUUGUCAACAUGAUCGAUUUUAAAAUCAUCUGGAAUCAGACCUCCAGAAGUGUCUAGCCGGCUGUUCCCGGCGAGGCUUACCUGAAUGGGGAGACCCACCCUGAAAAAAAAAAAAGGAAGAAAAGAGAAAGCAAAUCGAAUGCCAGCCUUUCUUGCUUGAUUUCCUGUUUCGUCCUGUUUCGAGUGUGGAGAGGGAGGAGUCACAGCUGAGAAGCACUUCCGCUGCUACUUUGUCUUUCCUACGCGAUGGACAUCCUCACACUGUGAACCAAAGCAGUCCCUCCAUUGAGUUGCUUUUCAGCAUUUUUGUUCGGGUUUUGCAAUUCUGAAAAUCCAUCCCAGCCAAACAUUGAGUCAUGCCCCCAGUCCUUCAGUGGCCUUAUGUCACGGCAGUGAAAAGUGUCUGUCUCCAGAUGGCUCGUUAGACCCAAGGAGCAAUUCUCUUUCACUUAUAAUAUCUGCAAGUAUUUGAAUUGAUACUGAUAUCUUCAGAUUUUGUUGAAAGCUGUUGUGCAGGUCCCAGCUAUUCCAUGUCUUCAUGGCAGAUGAGAAGUGCAUGGCUGUCUGUAAGCAGAGUGUAAAAGAUGGAACAGAUUGUUUUCUUAGGUGCACACAGGCUGACACUGAAGAUGCACACGUGCCAUUGAAAUAAACCAAGAGUAUUGUGUGGCUUCCAGAGCCCUGCCUGUACCUGCACCUUUUCCUCUUCCACUCAAGAACUCAUGUUAGCAGGUAAGCUAGUGAAUAUAAGUAUAAGGCUCUAUAGGGACUACCUUAAAUAACACACAUUUCUAGUAAAUGGCAAACAAAUAAGCCAAUUAUAAAUAUUAGACUUCUUGUCAUAGACACUGUGUUUAUUCAGACAAUGUCACAUGUGAUGUUUUUAAUUUAUGUUUUAGCAAUUGGUCUCAAACUUCUGGGGAACAUUUUAUUGUUUCUGUAACUUUUAGGAAAGAACACAGUGUUCUUUAGUCAGGAGUCUGAAUGACAGUGUGGAAGAGAAUGCUUAGAAAGAAUUGCAGUAGAGCCUUUACUGACUCUAGACAGGCA